UACGGAGGGUGCAAGCGUUAUCCGGAUUCACUGGGUUUAAAGGGUGCGUAGGUGGGUUGAUAAGUCAGAGGUGAAAUCCCCGAGCUUAACUUGGGAACUGCCUUUGAUACUAUCAGACUUGAAUACCGUGGAGGUCGGAGAAAUUGUCAUGUAGCGGUGAAAUGCUUAGAUAUGAGAUAGAACACCAAUUGCGAAGGCAGCUGGUUACGCGGAUAUUGACACUGAGGCACGAAAGCGUGGGGAUCAAACAGGAUUAGAUACCCUGGUAGUCCACGCCCUAAACUAUGGAUACUCGACAUUUGCGAUAAACUGUAAGUGUCUGAGCGAAAGCAUUAAGUAUCCCACCUGGGAAGUACGAUCACAAGAUUGAAACUCAAAGGAAUUGGCGGGGGUCCGCACAAGCGGUGGAGCACGUGGUUUAAUUCGAUGAUACGCGAGGAACCUUACCUGGGCUAGAAUGCUGGGAGGCCGUGAGUGAAAGCUCAUUUUGUAGCAAUACACUUCCAGUAAGGUGCUGCAUGGCUGUCGUCAACUCGUGCCGUGAGGUGUUGGGUUAAGUCCUGCAACGAGCGCAACCCCCAUCACUAGUUGCCAUCAGGUAACGCUGGGAACUUUAGUGAAACUGCCGUCGUAAGACGUGAGGAAGGAGGGGAUGAUGUCAAGUCAUCAUGGCCUUUAUGCCCAGGGCUACCCCCGUGCUACAAUGGGGCGUACAAAGGGGUGCAACAUAGCAAUAUGAAGCUAAUCCCAAAAAACGCCUUUCAGUUCAGAUUGGAGUUUGCAACUUGGCUUCAUGAAGCUGGAAUCGCUAGUAAUCGUAUAUCAGCAAUGAUACGGUGAAUACGUUCCCGGACCU
This 856-nucleotide ribosomal RNA is filed under the name uncultured bacterium. RNAcentral describes it as "SSU rRNA". It matches the Rfam family "Bacterial small subunit ribosomal RNA", at positions 524 to 1381 of the family's 1533-position model. The record is from RNAcentral.